AGAGAAUUGGCCGAGUGGUUUAAGGCGGUAGUCUUGAGUACUAUUAAGAAUUUUUUUCUUCAUGGGUUCGAAUCCCAUAUUCUCUG
RNAcentral lists this transfer RNA (86 nucleotides) under Acrostalagmus luteoalbus. Its description in RNAcentral is "tRNA-Ser". It matches the Rfam family "tRNA". Rfam says of the family: Transfer RNA (tRNA) molecules are approximately 80 nucleotides in length. Their secondary structure includes four short double-helical elements and three loops (D, anti-codon, and T loops). Further hydrogen bonds mediate the characteristic L-shaped molecular structure. tRNAs have two regions of fundamental functional importance: the anti-codon, which is responsible for specific mRNA codon recognition, and the 3' end, to which the tRNAs corresponding amino acid is attached (by aminoacyl-tRNA synthetases). tRNAs cope with the degeneracy of the genetic code in two manners: having more than one tRNA (with a specific anti-codon) for a particular amino acid; and 'wobble' base-pairing, i.e. permitting non-standard base-pairing at the 3rd anti-codon position. The record is from RNAcentral. Lineage: Eukaryota; Fungi; Ascomycota; Sordariomycetes; Glomerellales; Plectosphaerellaceae.